RNAcentral lists this ribosomal RNA (497 nucleotides) under uncultured bacterium. RNAcentral describes it as "partial 16S ribosomal RNA". It matches the Rfam family "Bacterial small subunit ribosomal RNA", at positions 28 to 507 of the family's 1533-position model. The record is from RNAcentral.
GAUGAACGCUGGCGGCGUGCCUAAUACAUGCAAGUCGAGCGAACAGACGAGGAGCUUGCUCCUCUGACGUUAGCGGCGGACGGGUGAGUAACACGUGGAUAACCUACCUAUAAGACUGGGAUAACUUCGGGAAACCGGAGCUAAUACCGGAUAAUAUAUUGAACCGCAUGGUUCAAUAGUGAAAGACGGUUUUGCUGUCACUUAUAGAUGGAUCCGCGCCGCAUUAGCUAGUUGGUAAGGUAACGGCUUACCAAGGCAACGAUGCGUAGCCGACCUGAGAGGGUGAUCGGCCGCACUGGAACUGAGACACGGUCCAGACUCCUACGGGAGGCAGCAGUAGGGAAUCUUCCGCAAUGGGCGAAAGCCUGACGGAGCAACGCCGCGUGAGUGAUGAAGGUCUUCGGAUCGUAAAACUCUGUUAUUAGGGAAGAACAAAUGUGUAAGUAACUAUGCACGGAUUGACGGUACCUAAUCAGAAAGCCACGGCUAACUACGUG